Molecule: ribosomal RNA, 601 nt
Filed under: uncultured archaeon
Lineage: Archaea
Description: bacterial SSU rRNA
Rfam family: Archaeal small subunit ribosomal RNA
Source: RNAcentral
UCCCUAUGGGGUGCAGCAGGCGCGAAAACUCUGCAAUAAGCGAAAGCUUGACAGGGUUAUUCUGAGUGAUUUCCGCUAAGGAAAUCUUUUGGCACCUCUAAAAAUGGUGCAGAAUAAGGGGUGGGCAAGCCUGGUGUCAGCCGCCGCGGUAAUACCAGCACCCCGAGUGGUCGGGACGAUUAUUGGGCCUAAAGCAUCCGUAGCCGGUUCUACAAGUCUUCCGUUAAAUCCACCUGCUCAACAGAUGGGCUGCGGAGGAUACUAUAGAGCUAGGAGGCGGGAGAGGCAAGCGGUACUUAGUGGGUAGGGGUAAAAUCCGUUGAUCCAUUGAAGACCACCAGUGGCGAAGGCGGCUUGCCAGAACGCACUCGACGGUGAGGGAUGAAAGCUGGGGGAGCAAACCGGAUUAGAUACCCGGGUAGUCCCAGCUGUAAACGAUGCAGACUCGGUGAUGAAUAGGCUUCGUGCCUAUUCAGUGCCGCAGGGAAGCCGUUAAGUCUGCCGCCUGGGGAGUACGGUCGCAAGACUGAGACUUAAAGGAAUUGGCGGGGGAGCACCACAAGGGGUGAAGCCUGCGGUUCAAUUGGAUUCAACGCCGGAA